RNAcentral lists this long non-coding RNA (1712 nucleotides) under Sus scrofa (pig). RNAcentral describes it as "lncRNA (ENSSSCG00050052751.1)". Lineage: Eukaryota; Metazoa; Chordata; Mammalia; Artiodactyla; Suidae. The record is from RNAcentral.
AUGCUUUUCUGGCUGAGCAGUGCUCUGCCAUCAUCCUGCAUUUAUCCUCAGGAUGGUAGAGAGAAGUGGAACAGACCACCCAGCCCCUUAACUGUCUGGAGGAAUCUGCAUCCUGAGGUCCCCAGGCCAGUGCUCUUUCUACAAUACACACCAUCCGGAAAAGGGUGUUCCUCUCCGGGCCCCUGCCCCGCACCCUCACUGCAUCCUCCUGGACUGAGAAAAACUCUGGAGGUAGAAGUUGGCAGUUUAGCUCGCCUUGGAAGGACCCAGAAAACUGAAGUGUCACUGGAGUUCUCAUUGGCUGAGCAUCCAGGACCAGGUGGGAGAAAGCGUCGACUCUGGGGGAGGUAAGAAGAGAUGAGGCAUCACUUCCAUUUGCAUUGAGAACACAUGCAAGGUUGGCUUGAGCACCACCCCUGAGUAGAAGCUGGUGUCUACUGUCUUAGGCCACAACGGCUCAUUCCAGACCCCCAGUUUCAACCAUUUACCAGACUUCCCCAUCCCAAACAGUGAAGUGAGAUCAACUUCUGAUAUUGCCCUCUGGGAAACACACAUGUGUUUCAACAGCCUUUCUGUAGAACUUCUUUGGUGGCCGCAAAGCUUUUGCAUGCACAUUGGAGGGAGCAUGGAGUGGCUUUAGUUUCUUGUUGGUUCCAGCUGAGAAAGAACCCCUGAGCUGGAAACUGGGGUCAGUGGAGUUCAAAAGCAAACUCCUGGUAUCCUCGCACUUUUCGGAUUCCUGGCCACUCACCCAAAUGAACCUCACUCAGAGAAUUUGAAAAUGCCCUGAGGAAAUAGUUAUCCGUGAAAUCAUUUUGUGUGGAGGAUCAGGAAGAGUGAAUGUCUUGGCACCAUGUCACAAGUUUCCCUUUUGUGCAUGUGUGACAAACGCGGAGCACUUUUAUCCAUGCUAGGCUCCAUAACAAGCUUGUGACAUGCAUUGUAUCUUUCAGUCUCAACUUGUCUCUCUGAAGGCGGUUCUGUUAUUUCCCCAUCAUAGAGAAGUUUAACUCUGGAAGGUCUUUUUGCUCCUAUGUGGAAGAGUUGGAUCUUAAAACUCAAGUUUAUUUUCUUCUAAGCCUGAGCUCUUCCUACUACCACCCCCGUCUAGUCUGAGAAUCCAUGGUGCUGUAUCUCCUUUUUUUUUUUUUUUGUCUUUUUGCUAUUUCUUGGGCCAUUCCCGUGACAUAUGGAAGUUCCCAGGCUACGGGUCCAAUCGGAGCUGUAGCCACCAGCCUACGCCAGAGCCACAGCAACUCGGGAUCCGAGCCGCCAUCUGCAACCUACACCACAGCUCACGGCAACGCCGGAUUGUUAACCCACUGAGCAAGGGCAGGGACCGAAUCCUCAACCUCAUGGUUCCUAGUCGGAUUCGUUAACCACUGCGCCACGACGGGAACUCCUGUAUCUCCUUUUUAACAAACUGGCACUUUGUUGAAUUAUAUGCACUACUGCGUAUAUGUACAUAUAUAGCUCCAUAAGCUCGUCAAGUUUCGGGAAUGAGCAGUAUUUCCCUCUGCAUUUCUAGCAGUAAGAACCAUGGGGGGACAUGCCACACAGUGGUGGGUAAGUGGAGGGAUGAAGUGAUGGGAAGAGAAAAAGAAGUGGAAGAGAAAGACUCUUGAGUCUGACCUCAAGGACUUGACAAUCCAGCAGAAGAAACAAGGCAUAAAUAUAUGAGAAACUAAAAAUAAAAGUCCCUAACACAGCCA